This 1134-nucleotide long non-coding RNA is filed under the name Ficedula albicollis (Collared flycatcher). RNAcentral describes it as "lncRNA (ENSFALG00000026068.1)". Lineage: Eukaryota; Metazoa; Chordata; Aves; Passeriformes; Muscicapidae. The record is from RNAcentral.
AUGGCACCGGCGCCGCGCUCCCCUGACGGCAGCGGCAGCCCCCCCCCCCCCCCCCCCCCCCCCCCCCCCCCCGACGGCAGCGGCAGCUGUCGCCUUCCCGGGCCGCCCGUCCCGCAUGAGAAGCGCCCAUGUGCGGGACCGGGCGGGGCGAGCCCGGCCCCAUUGAUCCCGGCCCCAUUGAUCCCGGCCCCAUUGAUCCCGGCAGCGGCCCCGAGCGAACCGACAGCUGCGCGGGGGGAGCGCCCGGUGCGCGCCCCGACGGGGAGAGGAGAGGAGAGGAGAGGAGAGAGCGCGGGGCUGUGCAGCGCCCGCAGGAGCUGCGGGGAAACGUCUCGGGCCUCGCCCGGCCCGAGGGCAGCCCUGGAACAGCCUCUCCCGGCCCGAGGGCAGCCCUGGAACAGCCUCUCCCGGCCCGAGGGCAGCCCUGGAACAGCCUCUCCCGGCCCGAGGGCAGCCCUGGAACAGCCUCUCCCGGCCCGAGGGCAGCCCUGGAACAGCCUCUCCCGGCCCGAGGGCAGCCCUGGAACAGCCUCUCCCGGCCCGAGGGCAGCCCUGGAACAGCCUCUCCCGGCCCGAGGGCAGCCCUGGAACAGCCUCUCCCGGCCCGAGGGCAGCCCUGGAACAGCCUCUCCCGGCCCGAGGGCAGCCCUGGAACAGCCUCUCCCGGCCCGAGGGCAGCCCUGGAACAGCCUCUCCCGGCCCGAGGGCAGCCCUGGAACAGCCUCUCCCGGCCCGAGGGCAGCCCUGGAACAGCCUCUCCCGGCCCGAGGGCAGCCCUGGAACAGCCUCUCCCGGCCCGAGGGCAGCCCUGGAACAGCCUCUCCCGGCCCGAGGGCAGCCCUGGAACAGCCUCUCCCGGCCCGAGGGCAGCCCUGGAACAGCCUCUCCCGGCCCGAGGGCAGCCCUGGAACAGCCUCUCCCGGCCCGAGGGCAGCCCCGAACCGCCUCUCCCGGCCCGGCCAGGCGCUGCAUCCCCGCGCAAGCGAACUUGCUGCUUUCCUUUUUCCUUCUGACUUCAAAUUUAUGCCUUCCCCGUCUUUUUUUUUUUUUGUUUGUUUUCUUUUUUGUUGUUGUUGUUGUUUUAGGUUUUUUAUUUGUUUUGGUUUUUUUUUUUUUAAUCCCCUCAAGGACUAG